Molecule: ribosomal RNA, 702 nt
Filed under: uncultured bacterium
Lineage: Bacteria
Description: bacterial SSU rRNA
Rfam family: Bacterial small subunit ribosomal RNA
Source: RNAcentral
GGGCUACACAUGCAGUCGAGCGGCCGUAGCAUACGGCAGCGGCAGACGGGAGAAGUAACACGUGGGAACGCGCCCUUCGGUUCGGAAUAACUCGGGGAAACUUGAGCUAAUACCGGAUACGCCCUUACGGGGAAAGAUUUAUUGCCGAAGGAACGGCCCGCGUCCGAUUAGCUAGUUGGUGAGGUAAUGGCUCACCAAGGCGACGAUCGGUAGCUGGUCUGAGAGGAUGACCAGCCUCACUGGGACUGAGACACGGCCAGACUCCUACGGGAGGCAGCAGUGGGGAAUAUUGGACAAUGGGCGCAAGCCUGAUCCAGCCAUGCCGCGUGGAUGAUGAAGGCCCUAGGGUUGUAAAGUCCUUUUAACGGGGAAGAUAAUGACGGUACCCGUAGAAUAAGCCCCGGCUAACUUCGUGCCAGCAGCCGCGGUAAUACGAAGGGGGCUAGCGUUGCUCGGAAUUACUGGGCGUAAAGCGCACGUAGGCGGCUUUCUAAGUCGGUGGUGAAAUCCUGGAGCUCAACUCCAGAACUGCCUUCGAAACUGGAGAGCUUGAGUCCGGGAGAGGUGAGUGGAACUGCGAGUGUAGAGGUGAAAUUCGUAGAUAUUCGCAAGAACACCAGUGGCGAAGGCGGUCACUGGCCCGGUACUGACGCUGAGGUGCGAAAGCGUGGGGAGCAAAACAGGAUUAGAUACCCUGGUAGU